UAAUUGAAGAGUUUGAUCAUGGCUCAGAUUGAACGCUGGCGGCAGGCCUAACACAUGCAAGUCGAGCGGAAACGAA
This 76-nucleotide ribosomal RNA is filed under the name Pseudoalteromonas shioyasakiensis. RNAcentral describes it as "partial 16S ribosomal RNA". It matches the Rfam family "Bacterial small subunit ribosomal RNA", at positions 1 to 76 of the family's 1533-position model. Lineage: Bacteria; Pseudomonadati; Pseudomonadota; Gammaproteobacteria; Alteromonadales; Pseudoalteromonadaceae. The record is from RNAcentral.